RNAcentral lists this ribosomal RNA (254 nucleotides) under uncultured prokaryote. RNAcentral describes it as "partial 16S ribosomal RNA". It matches the Rfam family "Bacterial small subunit ribosomal RNA", at positions 524 to 776 of the family's 1533-position model. The record is from RNAcentral.
UACAGAGGGUGCAAGCGUUAUUCGGAAUCACUGGGCUUAAAGCGCGUGUAGGCGGGACGGCACGUCGGUCGUUGAAAUCCCCCGGCUCAACCGGGGAAGGGGCGCCGAUACGACCGUCCUGGAGGGGCGUAGGGGGACCUGGAACUUCCGGUGGAGCGGUGAAAUGCGUUGAGAUCGGAAGGAACGCCCGUGGCGAAAGCGAGGUCCUGGACGCCUACUGACGCUGAGACGCGAAAGCCAGGGGAGCGAACGGG